AUGGAGCAAAUUAUUAAGGUACUGCUCCAGUUUUGUAAGGAUUAUUGUUGUAAAUCAGCCCCUUCUAAGAAGGAGAUAGCUGCUGUGUUAUCGCGGCUAGAGAAGGAGGGCUGCCUGGCAACCCCGGAGGCGGUGCUGGAUUAUGGGUUGUGGGACUCUUUUACUAUGAAACUCGCCCAACGGGCUAUGUCCUCACCCAAGAAAGAUAAGGAUCUGCUAAAAAACUGGGGACUCAUCCUGGGGGCGUUGAAGGCAGCCAAGGAGGAUAAGGAAGCACAGUAUACGGCACAAAAAUUGGUGGGGCUUGCGGGUCGUGGGGAACAGGGUGGGAGUUUGGAAAUGGAGAGGGGGGAGGUGCGGGGGGUUUGCGCUUCCCCUACAGAUGGCCGAGGAUGUUCUCCUGCCACCGAGGCGCCGCCCGAGUCCAGGAACGAUCAACGGACAAUGCCCCGGCCGUUGCGUAAUCCUUAUCCGACUGCCCCAGCUGCCCCGGAGGAGGCCCCACCUCCCUACCCCCGCCCAAAGUUGUAUCCUGCCCUGCCAGAUGAGGGUGGGGGAGGGGGUGGCUCUUGUAACAGCUCUCGUGACUGCGCAAACAAUGACUGUGCAAGUGGGGGUGGCACAACACUGCCAUAUAGGGGAACUAACAGAAAGCCAGAUGGAGGGGGCGGGACCGAGCAGGGGGCGGCGGCCACUGGCCCUCCUGAGCAGUUCACUGAUUGGUCCCAGAUCCGGGAGGGCGUGGAGAGCAGUGGCCUGCCUGUGAGAGCGUUGCCGGUGGUGGCGGGGCCCAACGGUGCUACCUGGGUGCUGCUGGAUCAAAAAGGCACCACUCACUUUAUAGAGGCGAUAAAGAAAAAGGGGUUGAAGUUGCCCUUUACCACAUCCGCCCUGGAGGCACUGACCGUGCAGGGCCCCCUCCUCCCUCAUGAUAUUACAAAUCUGAUGAGAAUGGCACUUAAGCCGGUCCAAUAUACUUUGUGGGAACAGGAAUUUAGAGCUCAAUGCAGGCAAAUAUUGCUCCGGAUGGAGCGAGAUGAUCACCACCCUCUAAGGAAGGGGGGGGGCACGAAUAUGGCAAGGCUUACGGGGAUGGCGGAUGGCAUGGCCACGCCCCAGGGCCAAGCAGCUCUCCUGCGGCUGGGGGAGUUGUUGGCCACCACGGACGCUAUGCUUGAAGCGUUCCGAAGGUUCGCAAGAGAUGCAGAACCCCUGGCCCCAUGGACAAUAAUCACCCAAGAGCCCACAGAAUCUUUUCAGCAAUUUGCGGAUCGCCUAAUCCCCUCUGUAGAGGGAUCUGAGCUGCCCCUGGCAGCCAGAGACCCGGUCAUUGUGGACUGUUUAAAACAGAGGUCCCAUGAAGACAUCAAGGUCAUCCUGAGGUCGGCUGCUUAG
Molecule: long non-coding RNA, 1395 nt
Filed under: Numida meleagris (helmeted guineafowl)
Lineage: Eukaryota; Metazoa; Chordata; Aves; Galliformes; Numididae
Description: lncRNA (ENSNMEG00000014992.1)
Source: RNAcentral